Molecule: ribosomal RNA, 254 nt
Filed under: uncultured bacterium
Lineage: Bacteria
Description: partial 16S ribosomal RNA
Rfam family: Bacterial small subunit ribosomal RNA
Source: RNAcentral
CACGUAGGGUGCGAGCGUUGUCCGGAAUUAUUGGGCGUAAAGAGCUCGUAGGCGGUGUGUCGCGUCGGCCGUGAAAACUUGGGGCUUAACUCUGAGCGUGCGGUCGAUACGGGCAUCACUUGAGUUCGGCAGGGGAGACUGGAAUUCCUGGUGUAGCGGUGAAAUGCGCAGAUAUCAGGAGGAACACCCGUGGCGAAGGCGGCACUCUGGGACGGUACUGACGCUGAGACGCGAAAGCGUGGGGAGCGAACAGG